This 466-nucleotide ribosomal RNA is filed under the name Clostridioides difficile. Its description in RNAcentral is "bacterial SSU rRNA". It matches the Rfam family "Bacterial small subunit ribosomal RNA", at positions 338 to 795 of the family's 1533-position model. Lineage: Bacteria; Bacillati; Bacillota; Clostridia; Peptostreptococcales; Peptostreptococcaceae. The record is from RNAcentral.
CCUACGGGGGGCUGCAGUAGGGAAUCUUCCGCAAUGGACGAAAGUCUGACGGAGCAACGCCGCGUGAGUGAUGAAGGCUUUCGGGUCGUAAAACUCUGUUGUUAGGGAAGAACAAGUGCUAGUUGAAUAAGCUGGCACCUUGACGGUACCUAACCAGAAAGCCACGGCUAACUACGUGCCAGCAGCCGCGGUAAUACGUAGGUGGCAAGCGUUAUCCGGAAUUAUUGGGCGUAAAGCGCGCGCAGGUGGUUUCUUAAGUCUGAUGUGAAAGCCCACGGCUCAACCGUGGAGGGUCAUUGGAAACUGGGAGACUUGAGUGCAGAAGAGGAAAGUGGAAUUCCAUGUGUAGCGGUGAAAUGCGUAGAGAUAUGGAGGAACACCAGUGGCGAAGGCGACUUUCUGGUCUGUAACUGACACUGAGGCGCGAAAGCGUGGGGAGCAAACAGGAUUAGAUACCCCUGUAGUC